Small nucleolar RNA from Otolemur garnettii (small-eared galago), 104 nucleotides. Lineage: Eukaryota; Metazoa; Chordata; Mammalia; Primates; Galagidae. The record is from Ensembl.
GUCCUUCUGUAGCUCAUAAGUGUGAUAACUAAGGGUUCACAUGCACACGUGAGAUGUGCCUCCCUCAAACCUUGUUAUGAUAUCGGCACAACAACACUUAGAUU